This is a long non-coding RNA of Diabrotica virgifera virgifera (western corn rootworm), 296 nucleotides long. RefSeq lists it as uncharacterized. The transcript is spliced from 3 exons. The record is from RefSeq and is a predicted model, not a curated record. Lineage: Eukaryota; Metazoa; Arthropoda; Insecta; Coleoptera; Chrysomelidae.
AGAUUUAGGCCCGGUCUUUUCACCUCCGAAUAAAUAUGCUCUUAUCUGGCAGUUAGCUAUCUGGAGGAUAAAUAUUUAUUCGCCAGAUAAAAUGUACCCGUCUUUUCACGUCAAUUUAUGUUCCAGUUAGUUAUCCGGUAGAUAAGCUUAAAACUUUAACUUAACCUAACAUAAUUAGAUUCAAAGUAUUUCAAAGAUGAUUUUAUCGAUUUUAUUUCCAUUUUGGAAGAAGGAAUGAAGGAAAUAAGGAAAACAUUGAUUAUGCUGAAAUAGUUUACUGGAGAGCUUGAACCAGU